AUGGCAACCGGAUCGAGCAGAGGAGGGCUCAGGCGAGACGAGCUCGCUGGCGGGAGCAGCUCCGGCGGUGGAGUACGCUGGGAGCGAGCAUGUGCGGCGGUGGACGUGAUUAUACCUGGUCAAAUGUCGGGCCGGGCCAAACAAAGCUCGUUGCAAAAAACCUGGGCCCGAGCCCGGCCCGGCCCGGCCGUCGGGCCUAGAUUUCAGGCCCGAGCCCGGCCCAUCAGUCAAAAAGCCCGACGGGCCUCGGGCCAUGGGCCGGGCCUCUUCGUUAAAUGGCAAAUAUGGCAGGCCCGAGCCCGGCCUGGCCUGGCCAUCGGGCCUAAAAAUCAGGCCCAAGCCCGGCCCAUGGGCAAGGUCGGGCCGGGCCGGGCCAUCCGGGCCGGGUUUCCCAUGGCCAGGUCUAGACGUGAUGCACACAACAUGCUCGAUAAAAUGUGCAGGUGA
This 447-nucleotide ribosomal RNA is filed under the name Triticum aestivum (bread wheat). Its description in RNAcentral is "partial small subunit ribosomal RNA". The record is from RNAcentral. Lineage: Eukaryota; Viridiplantae; Streptophyta; Magnoliopsida; Poales; Poaceae.